GCACUGCUGAAGAGUCCCAUAAUAAGACGAGACGGCCUUCCAGUGC
Molecule: non-coding RNA, 46 nt
Filed under: Schistosoma mattheei
Lineage: Eukaryota; Metazoa; Platyhelminthes; Trematoda; Strigeidida; Schistosomatidae
Source: RNAcentral